AGGCAGUCCUCGAGGGCUGCCCUACCCGGAGCUGCCGACAGCAGGGCACCGGCUUCCCGUGGUUUGGGGUGGCAGGUCUUGGAAGUUUCCCCACAGAGGUGUAGAACAGUUUCCACCUCUCCAUUCCAGUGGCUGAAACCCACUACUGUAGAGGCAAGGAGGGAAGGAAGGAAAUCCCAGACUGGAGCAGCUCCGAUCUGCUUUCUCUGUGUCAAGCACACUCUAGGACAGGUUGAUGCCAGCUGCACGUCUAAGGUAUAGCCAUCACUCUAUUGUAUUUCCAACGAGGAGCAAACACAUGGAGAGAUGGAAAUCGGAUGAGUAGAGAAGAGUCUGAUGUGGCAGAGGACAUUCAGGGACCUACUUAUUUCCAGUCCCAUGCUAGCAUUCCAUGAAGAAGCUCUGCUGCCCAGCGGCGGAUUCCUAUCCCUUAACUUCUAUGAUCCAAGUCUGCUCCACAACCAGCUUUUUCAUAAUUCCUGUUAAUCCAGCAUAUUUUGGGGAGUUUUAAGGCACAGUUUUUGCUUGUUUGCUUUGGGCUUGGAGCACAUGCAGUUUACUCAUGUGCUCUGGCAAGAGCCCGGAGUUGCGCGUGAUCCCGAGCUAAGCAAAGCACGGCUGUGUCUGCAGUGCCUGUCCUGGGGACAAGAGCAAGUGCAAGGAGCCUCUCUGGCAGGAGUACAUGAGCCUGAUAUGUGAUAGCCUUCAACAACUGUGAAAGAAGGAUUGAUGGACUUGCCAUAAUUCACAGAAUGGGGGAGCUUGGGCAGGAGAAGGACUUGAGCUUCUAGGAACAGGCAAGCAAAGUGCUCCAUCACGGGCAAGGCAAGCCAGCCACACCAGGCACUCCUGCCCUGCCACAGGCACGAGCCCCCAGCGCUCAUCAGAGUAACAGGCAAAAGUUGCCUCACUUCCAGCUUCACUGCUAGACUGGUCCUUACAAAACUAGCCAAUGUGCUUGCCCCUGAAAUUGAAGAGAGGCAGAGGGUUUUACAAGUCCUUCCCUCCACUCCUACACCAUAACUGACAGCAAAUAGUGUGAACACCUCUUACACAUGAGACUUUUAAAGCCCCAUAGCUGCUCUAGCUCCCUACCCUAUUGUUCCAGUGCCUUUGCAGAUUUUAUAUGAAACCCCAGAAAACAGAUAGAAAAAUCCUUUCUUCCCCUUUUACUAAUCCAAGUUGCUAACUUAAAAAAAAAAAAAAAAA
Molecule: long non-coding RNA, 1209 nt
Organism: Passer montanus (Eurasian tree sparrow)
Lineage: Eukaryota; Metazoa; Chordata; Aves; Passeriformes; Passeridae
Exons: 2
Source: RefSeq, a predicted model, not a curated record